This 233-nucleotide ribosomal RNA is filed under the name uncultured bacterium. RNAcentral describes it as "partial 16S ribosomal RNA". It matches the Rfam family "Bacterial small subunit ribosomal RNA", at positions 122 to 354 of the family's 1533-position model. The record is from RNAcentral.
CAAUCUGCCUUGGAGUGGGGAAUAACGGUUGGAAACAGCCGCUAAUACCGCAUGAUGCGUCUGGGAGGCAUCUCUCUGGACGCCAAAGAUUUAUCGCUCUGAGAUGAGCUCGCGUCUGAUUAGCUUGUUGGCGGGGUAAAGGCCCACCAAGGCGACGAUCAGUAGCCGGACUGAGAGGUUGGCCGGCCACAUUGGGACUGAGACACGGCCCAGACUCCUACGGGAGGCAGCAG